This 1759-nucleotide long non-coding RNA is filed under the name Zea mays. RNAcentral's name for it is "long non-coding RNA (ZMAY_LNC004270)". Lineage: Eukaryota; Viridiplantae; Streptophyta; Magnoliopsida; Poales; Poaceae. The record is from RNAcentral.
GUUUUCCCUAAAUUAUACAAUCAACCAUACAAUUUAAGAAACAAAGCAAGUAACUAUUUCAACCUUACUAUAUGCGAGCAUGAAUUUCCAAACCUUUUCUGACACAUAAAUGAGUGAAAUCUUCAACAAAAUUUAGAAAAAAACUGGACAUCCCAUCACAUCCUUGAACCUUAUGAUGCCUUUAAUUGAGUUCCUCUGUAGUCUUGGCGCCAGCCUAAGGAGGCAUGUGGUUUAUAAAGUAGGAAUAUUAGUAUCCAUUGGUGUCUCUAACAAGUACUAAUGUUGAGUAAUCAAUACUAAUUAAAGACACAAACAAAUACUAAUUUCUUUAACUAGUACUGUUUACUUGAUAUUAGUAUCAGUUGGAGAUACAAACUGGUACUGGUGUAUUCUACGAGGACAUAACAGUUAAUAUCGGUACUGAUGCUUAAUUCAAUACCAUUUCUAAAGUAACUGGUAUUGAUCUUCUCAGGCAGAAGCCCCAUUCUCCACUAGUAGAUGACUCCAACUCUAGCAAGAAAAUGAAGAUGGGAAAGAGAAGGCAAGGGGGAAGGGAUGACAUGAGGAAAGCAUCUAGAGGAGACACACCUACAACCUUUAUAAGAGUAGGCCACGAUGAUGGUGGCGGAACAGUGGCAGCGAUGGUGACACCUUUAGGGAGCACGGGGGGGGGGGGGUGAGAGGUCGUGACUCGCGCGCGCUUAGGUUUGUUCCUAGCUUUAGGAGACGUGGCUCGAGACCCACGUGGUUAAGCGUUGUUUUGGAUCGAACCAUUAUGUGCUCAUCCUUGCCAAAUGUGAUUUUAGCAUCCACACGAAUAUUUCCCCAAUGUAGGACGAGCACCUAACCUUAGGAGACAUGCCAAGAGACCCACAUGGUUAAACAUGGUUUUCGAUGGGAGAACAUAUCAGGUGCACAUGGCACUUUGGUGCACCUGGUGCAUAAAUUAAAUAAUAUCUAUCAAUCUCAGAUCUAACGUCCUUUAUUGUUAUGUAUAUUUUGCAAAGAAAGUAGGGUAAAAGUGGUGGAGGAUAGUAGUAGAGAAUGUUCUUUGCAAAAAUAUACAAAACAUAAAGGAACAUUAGAUUUGAUAUGGAUGACAUGAUUUAAUAUGUACACUAUGUGUAUCAAAGCGCCAUAUGAAUCUGAUAUCUUUAAUACUAUAAAGCACUAGUUUCUACCGUCGUCGUGCAUCAUGCGCGAAGCUCAUAGGUUUGUUCCUCUCCCCCGCAUCUCGCGUAACAAGUAGUAACAUAGAUAAUCUUCCAUGCAUGUGAUCAAAUAAGAAUGAAAAAUAAUAAGGCACCAGUUAGCACCGUUUCCACCGUAGUCAUGUGUCACGCGUGAAGUGAGUAGGUCAGUUCCUCUCCCUCACGUCUCUCCUAACAAACAGUGUUACAGAUAAGCUUCCAUGCAUGUGAUCAGAUAAGAACAACAAAAAUAAGAUAGAUUUGCAUGCAUGUGAUCGGAUAAGGACAACAAAAAUAGGAUAUGGAAGCUAACUAAAUAAGCACAAGAGUACACCCCAAUAAAUUAUUAAUAAUCCACUCAUCUAUCAUCAAGAUCCCUUUUUGCUACUCACCCGAUGUCGCCAUGCGUGAUGCCUGCAUUGUGUGUUGGACCUGGACAUGGUUAGCCGCAUGGUGCGGCGUGUAGGAUGAGCUGGAGCACGGUCAUGACGUGGCGUGCAUCGUAGUGCAGAGCCGAGGCGAGCACCCGCUGCUGCAGGAGGUGGUGAGGGAGGAGGCAUGACCGCGAC